GUAAGGCGCGCGUAGGUGGUUUUUUAAGUUGGAUGUGAAAGCCCUGGGCUCANCNUAGGAACUGCAUCCAAAACUAGAUAACUAGAGUACGAAAGAGGGAAGUAGAAUUCACAGUGUAGCGGUGGAAUGCGUAGAUAUUGUGAAGAAUACCAAUGGCGAAGGCAGCUUCCUGGUUCUGUACUGACACUGAGGUGCGAAAGCGUGGGUAGCGAACAGGAUUAGAUACCCUGGUAGUCCACGCCGUAAACGAUGACAACUAGCUGUUGGGAGACAAGAUCUCUCAGUGGCGCAGCUAACGCUUUAAGUUGUCCGCCUGGGGAGUACGGCCGCAAGGUUAAAACUCAAAUGAAUUGACGGGGACCCGCACAAGCGGUGGAGCAUGUGGUUUAAUUCGAUGCAACGCGAAAAACCUUACCUACUCUUGACAUACUUGGAAGCUCUUGUAAUGAGAGUGUGCUUUUAGAGCCAAGAUACAGGUGCUGCAUGGCUGUCGUCAGCUCGUGUCGUGAGAUGUUGGGUUAAGUUCCAUAACGAGCGCAACCCUUACCCUUAUUUGCCAGCGGUUCGGCCGGGAACCAUAAGGGGACUGCCGGUGACAAACCGGAGGAAGGUGAGGACGACGUCAAGUCAUCAUGGCCCUUACGAGUAGGGCUACACACGUGCUACAAUGGGGAAUACAGACGGACGCUAAAGCGUGAGCUGGUGCUAAUCCUAAAAAAUUUCUCGUAGUCCGGAUUGCAGUCUGCAACUCGACUGCAUGAAGUCGGAAUCGCUAGUAAUCGUGAAUCAGCAUGUCGCGGUGAACACGUUCUCGGGUCUUGUACACACCGCCCGUCACACCAUGGAAGUGUGUUGCACCAGAAGUAGGUAGUCUAACCUUCGGGAAGGCGCUUACCACGGUGUGAUCCAUGACUGGGGUGAAGUCGUAACAAGGUAGCCGUANUCCCGCGGCCA
This 954-nucleotide ribosomal RNA is filed under the name uncultured marine microorganism. Its description in RNAcentral is "bacterial SSU rRNA". It matches the Rfam family "Bacterial small subunit ribosomal RNA", at positions 560 to 1520 of the family's 1533-position model. The record is from RNAcentral.